UUCGCAAUGCCCGAAAGGGUGACGAAGCGACGCCGCGUGGGUGAGGAAGGCCUUCGGGUUGUAAAGCCCUGUCAGGAGUUAAGAAAUGUAAGUGCGCUAAUAUCGCAUUUAUUUGACGAAGGCUCCAAAGGAAGUCACGGCUAACUCUGUGCCAGCAGCCGCGGUAAUACAGAGGUGGCAAGCGUUGUUCGGAAUUAUUGGGCGUAAAGAGCACGUAGGUGGGUUUGUAAGUCAGAUGUGAAAGCCUUCUGUUCAACGGAAGAAUUGCAUCUGAAACUGCGAGUCUUGAGUGUAGGAGGGGAGAAUGGAACUUCUGGUGGAGCGGUGAAAUGCGUAGAUAUCAGAAGGAACGCCGGCGGCGAAAGCGAUUCUCUGGCCUAUUACUGACACUCAGUGUGCGAAAGCUAGGGGAGCAAACGGGAUUAGAUACCCCGGUAGUCCUAGCCGUAAACGAUGGGCACUAA
This 464-nucleotide ribosomal RNA is filed under the name uncultured Planctomycetota bacterium. RNAcentral's name for it is "bacterial SSU rRNA". It matches the Rfam family "Bacterial small subunit ribosomal RNA", at positions 365 to 819 of the family's 1533-position model. The record is from RNAcentral. Lineage: Bacteria; Pseudomonadati; Planctomycetota.